CCUACGGGAGGCAGCAGUGGGGGAUAUUGCACAAUGGGGGAAACCCUGAUGCAGCGACGCCGCGUGUGGGAAGACGGUCCUCUGGAUUGUAAACCACUGUCCCCAGGGACGAAGAUGACGGUACCUGGGGAGGAAGCUCCGGCUAACUACGUGCCAGCAGCCGCGGUAAUACGUAGGGAGCGAGCGUUGUCCGGAAUUACUGGGUGUAAAGGGAGCGUAGGCGGGACUGCAAGUUGGGGGUAAAAUCUACGGGCUCAACCGGUAGCCGCACUCAAAACUGCAGGUCUUGAGUGAAGUAGAGGCAGGCGGAAUUCCUAGUGUAGCGGUGAAAUGCGUAGAUAUUAGGAGGAACACCAGUGGCGAAGGCGGCCUGCUGGGCUUUUACUGACGCUGAGGCUCGAAAGUGUGGGGAGCAAACAGGAUUAGAUACCCGUGUAGUC
RNAcentral lists this ribosomal RNA (440 nucleotides) under uncultured bacterium. Its description in RNAcentral is "partial 16S ribosomal RNA". It matches the Rfam family "Bacterial small subunit ribosomal RNA", at positions 338 to 795 of the family's 1533-position model. The record is from RNAcentral.